UUUUAUGCUUGCUCAGUACUCAUAUUUACAUAGAUCUUUUUCCAAAUAUUAGUUAAGAUUAAUUAAGUAAUGACGACUUCAAAAGUUAUACUUCUGGUUCUUCACAGAACUAACCACAGAAUCAUAAUAACAGAACACGUUG
Molecule: long non-coding RNA, 142 nt
Organism: Syngnathus acus (greater pipefish)
Lineage: Eukaryota; Metazoa; Chordata; Actinopteri; Syngnathiformes; Syngnathidae
Exons: 2
Source: RefSeq, a predicted model, not a curated record